GAAAGAGUUUAGAGCUGGGAAGGAUCACACAAAACCUUUAGUUGAACUCCUCAUUCGACAGAUGAAGAAACUAAGACUCACAGAGUUUGUCUGGUUUAAGGCCAUCCAUUAGGUAAAGGCUGGUCAGGCUAGAGCAGCCGCCUCGAGCUCACUGCUCUGUCUGCCACCCCUUACCUCUCAAGUCCUCAGGCGGAGGCGUGUGAUGAAAGAAGAUGCAGGUUAUCUAUCACCAGCCAGGCCAGUGUCUGUGGACCACUGCAAACUGAUUUUUUGUCGACUACCAGCAAUAACCCACUCAUCUGGCAAAUAAUUAUCACAUGUUUGCUCUCUGCCAGACCCAUUGCCCUCAAUUACUUUCCAAGUUUCUCCCAUCCUCAGAGAUUAGGUUGGAAAUCAUUUUUCUCUGCUCUGUUGUAAUCAAUUCCUGCAGUAUGUAGGACUCUAAGUGAAUUAGAGUUAAGGAUUUAAAAAAUGUUCAUAAAUAAUAAAGGAUUCACAUAUAUCAGAAAUAAGAGUCUGUUAUUCAAAAAGCCACAAAAUAUCUUAUCUAGAGAAGACACUUAAAAUAUACAUCUUAAAAAUUCAGCACUUAAGAAUGCAUUUUACAAUUGUUUCCAUUUGAGAAACAGAGUUAAAAUGGAUAAUAAUUAUAAACACAACU
Molecule: long non-coding RNA, 661 nt
Organism: Myotis daubentonii (Daubenton's bat)
Lineage: Eukaryota; Metazoa; Chordata; Mammalia; Chiroptera; Vespertilionidae
Exons: 2
Source: RefSeq, a predicted model, not a curated record